UAGCAUAUCAUAGCGGAGGAAAAAGAAACACAGGGAUUGCCCCAGUAACGGCGAGUGAAGCGGCAAGAGCUCAAAAUUUGAAAUCUGGCCUCCCUUGGGGGGUCCGAGUUGUAAUUUGUAGAGGAUGCUUCGGGUGUGGCCGCCGUCUAAGUUCCUUGGAACAGGACGUCGUAGAGGGUGAGAAUCCCGUCUUGGGCGGCCGGUCCGCGCCCGUGUGAAGCUCCUUCGACGAGUCGAGUUGUUUGGGAAUGCAGCUCUAAGCGGGUGGUAAAUUUCAUCUAAAGCUAAAUACUGGCCGGAGACCGAUAGCGCACAAGUAGAGUGAUCGAAAGGUUAAAAGCACCUUGAAAAGGGAGUUAAACAGCACGUGAAAUUGUUGAAAGGGAAGCGCUUGCGGCCAGACUCGAGGGGCGGGGUUCAGCGGGUGCGCGUCACCCGUGCACUCCCCGUCCCCCCGGGCCAGCAUCAGUUUCGACGGCCGGUCAAAGGCCCCCGGAAUGUGUCGUCUCUAGGGACGUCUUAUAGCCGGGGGUGCAAUGCGGCCCGCCGGGACUGAGGAACGCGCUCCGGCUCGGAUGCUGGCGUAAUGGCCGUAAGCGGCCCGUCUUGAAACACGGACCAAGGAGUCUAACAUCCACGCGAGUGUUCGGGUGUCAAACCCGUGCGCGCAGUGAAAGCGAACGGAGGUGGGAGCCCUAGGGCGCACCAUCGACCGAUCCUGAAGUCUUCGGAUGGAUUUGAGUAGGAGCGUGGCCGUUGGGACCCGAAAGAUGGUGAACUAUGCCUGAAUAGGGUGAAGCCAGAGGAAACUCUGGUGGAGGCUCGCAGCGGUUCUGACGUGCAAAUCGAUCGUCAAAUUUGGGCAUAGGGGCGAAAGACUAAUCGAACUAUCUAGUAGCUGGGUGCUGCGA
RNAcentral lists this ribosomal RNA (911 nucleotides) under Microsporum ferrugineum. RNAcentral describes it as "LSU rRNA". It matches the Rfam family "Eukaryotic large subunit ribosomal RNA", at positions 36 to 963 of the family's 3401-position model. The record is from RNAcentral. Lineage: Eukaryota; Fungi; Ascomycota; Eurotiomycetes; Onygenales; Arthrodermataceae.